UACGUAGGGGGCAAGCGUUGUCCGGAAUCAUUGGGCGUAAAGAGCGUGUAGGCGGCUCGGUAAGUCUGCUGUGAAAGUCCAGGGCUCAACCCUGGAAGGCCGGUGGAAACUGUCGGGCUAGAGUCCGGAAGAGGCGAGUGGAAUUUCCGGUGGAGCGGUGAAAUGCGUAGAGAUCGGAAAGAACACCAACGGCGAAAGCGCUCUGCUGGGCCGACACUGACACUGAGAGACGAAAGCGAGGGGAGCGAAUGGG
RNAcentral lists this ribosomal RNA (253 nucleotides) under uncultured bacterium. RNAcentral's name for it is "partial 16S ribosomal RNA". It matches the Rfam family "Bacterial small subunit ribosomal RNA", at positions 524 to 776 of the family's 1533-position model. The record is from RNAcentral.